GCUCCCUUCGUCUAGAGGCCCAGGACAUAGCCCUCUCAAGGCUAGUACACCGGUUCGAAUCCGGUAGGGAGCGCCA
This 76-nucleotide transfer RNA is filed under the name Gammaproteobacteria bacterium. RNAcentral's name for it is "tRNA-Glu". It matches the Rfam family "tRNA". From Rfam's summary of the family: Transfer RNA (tRNA) molecules are approximately 80 nucleotides in length. Their secondary structure includes four short double-helical elements and three loops (D, anti-codon, and T loops). RNAcentral also lists the same sequence under 8 other names. Lineage: Bacteria; Pseudomonadati; Pseudomonadota; Gammaproteobacteria. The record is from RNAcentral.